Molecule: ribosomal RNA, 440 nt
Filed under: uncultured bacterium
Lineage: Bacteria
Description: partial 16S ribosomal RNA
Rfam family: Bacterial small subunit ribosomal RNA
Source: RNAcentral
CCUACGGGAGGCAGCAGUGGGGAAUAUUGCACAAUGGGGGAAACCCUGAUGCAGCGACGCCGCGUGGGUGAAGAAGUAAUUCGUUAUGUAAAGCUCUAUUAGCAGGGAAGAAAAUGACGGUACCUGAGUAAGAAGCCCCGGCUAACUACGUGCCAGCAGCCGCGGUAAUACGUAGGGGGCAAGCGUUAUCCGGAUUUACUGGGUGUAAAGGGAGCGUAGACGGCAGUGCAAGUCAGGAGUGAAAGGCGGGGGCUCAACCCCCGGACUGCUCUGGAAACUGUAAUGCUGGAGUGUAGGAGAGGUAAGUGGAAUUCCUGGUGUAGCGGUAAAAUGCGUAGAUAUUAGGAGGAACACCAGUGGCGAAGGCGGCUUACUGGACUGUAACUGACGUUGAGGCUCGAAAGCGUGGGGAGCAAACAGGAUUAGAUACCCGUGUAGUC